UCACCGUCUGGCUCGGAUUCGCUUGGUGCAGGCCGGGAACCAAUUGUCUAACACAUCCACGAAGUUUUACUUGCUGGUUUGGGAGAAGGGAUUGGAUCCCGCCUUGCAUCAAUUGAAUCGGAGCCCUGAUGGUGAAA
This is a non-coding RNA of Brassica napus (rape), 137 nucleotides long. The record is from Rfam. NCBI's taxonomy places the organism in Eukaryota, Viridiplantae, Streptophyta, Magnoliopsida, Brassicales, Brassicaceae.